Molecule: ribosomal RNA, 1433 nt
Filed under: uncultured bacterium
Lineage: Bacteria
Description: bacterial SSU rRNA
Rfam family: Bacterial small subunit ribosomal RNA
Source: RNAcentral
AGAGUUUGAUCAUGGCUCAGAACGUACGCUGGCGGCACGCCUAACACAUGCAAGUCGAACGAAGUAGCAAUACUUAGUGGCAGACGGGUGAGUAACAUGUGGGUAUCUGCCCUUUGGCCUGGAAUAACACGAGGAAACUUGUGCUAAUACCGGAUAAGUCUUUACGGAGAAAGCUUUAUGCACCAUUGGAUGAGCCCGCACUUGAUUAGUUUGUUGGUGGGGUAAUGGCCUACCAAGACUGUGAUCAAUAGCUGAUUUGAGAGGAUGAUCAGCCACAUUGGGACUGAGACACGGCCCAAACUCCUACGGGAGGCAGCAGUGGGGAAUCUUGCACAAUGGAGGAAACUCUGAUGCAGCGAUGCCGCGUGAGUGAAGAAGGCCCUUGGGUUGUAAAGCUCUUUCGUCGGGGAAGAAAAUGACUGUACCCGAAUAAGAAGGUCCGGCUAACUUCGUGCCAGCAGCCGCGGUAAUACGAAGGGACCUAGCGUAGUUCGGAAUUACUGGGCUUAAAGAGUUCGUAGGUGGUUGAAAAAGUUAGUGGUGAAAUCCCAGAGCUUAACUCUGGAACUGCCAUUAAAACUUUUCAGCUAGAGUAUGAUAGAGGAAAGCAGAAUUUCUAGUGUAGAGGUGAAAUUCGUAGAUAUUAGAAAGAAUACCAAUUGCGAAGGCAGCUUUCUGGAUCAUUACUGACACUGAGGAACGAAAGCAUGGGUAGCGAAGAGGAUUAGAUACCCUCGUAGUCCAUGCCGUAAACGAUGUGUGUUAGACGUUGGAAAUUUAUUUUCAGUGUCGCAGGGAAACCGAUAAACACACCGCCUGGGGAGUACGACCGCAAGGUUAAAACUCAAAUGAAUUGACGGGGACCCGCACAAGUAGUGGAGCAUGUGGUUUAAUUCGAAGAUACGCGCAGAACCUUACCAACACUUGACAUGUUCGUCGCGACUCUAAGAGAUUAGAGUUUUCGGUUCGGCCGGACGAAACACAGGUGCUGCAUGGCUGUCGUCAGCUCGUGUCGUGAGAUGUUGGGUUAAGUCCCGCAACGAGCGCAACCCUCACUUUUAGUUGCCAUCAUUAAGUUGGGCACUCUGAAAGAACUGCCAGUGAUAAGCUGGAGGAAGGUGGGGAUGACGUCAAGUCCUCAUGGCCCUUACGUGUUGGGCUACACACGUGCUACAAUGGUAUCUACAACAGGAAGCAAAACUGCGAAGUUAAGCAAAUCCCUAAAAGAUACCUCAGUUCGGAUUGCACUCUGCAACUCGAGUGCAUGAAGCUGGAAUUACUAGUAAUCGUGGAUCAGCGUGCCACGGUGAAUGCGUUCCCGGGUCUUGUACACACCGCCCGUCACACCAUGGGAGUUGGUUCUACCUUAAGGCAAGGCUUAAAACCCUUGACCACGGUAUAGUCAGCGACUGGGGUGAAGUCGUAACAAGGUA